Molecule: long non-coding RNA, 1772 nt
Organism: Seriola aureovittata
Lineage: Eukaryota; Metazoa; Chordata; Actinopteri; Carangiformes; Carangidae
Exons: 3
Source: RefSeq, a predicted model, not a curated record
GCAGCUGCAACAACAACCUUUUGGCCCUUAGACAAAACAGCGGUGUAUCUGUUGGCGGUGUGAGCACAUCGGCUCAGUAAAAGUAAGCAGAAAGAGCUCCGAGCGAAGCAAGGUGGACUCAACACAGUACAGCAGGUGAACGGAGUCCGAGCCUCUCACACAGGCAUCUCCGGACGGACGCUUGAAUCAUCGCGGUCUUUCUCGAUCCCAAAGGGGUAAAAGAACUCAAAAUAAGGUGUUACUGGUGACAAAACUGGAUUCACCCCAGCCACUGCAGGAAGGCAGCGGGGAGCCCUGAGGAGUCGGACAGGCGGAUGCCAGAAGGACAGCAGGUUUCUGCAGACAGGCAGAGCAGCAAAGGCAACAGACACAGACUGUCUGCAUCACUGAAGCAAACAACAAGAGUAACCUUAACUGGAGGUUUAAAAACCCACUGAUUACUCCGACAGAAGAGAAAAAACUGUAUAAGGAGGAGUGAGAAGAAAAGGGAAGUAUUGCAAUACUCUAUAUUACUCCCACAGACAAAGAGAGACCUUUUUCCAUGAGCAUCACAUACUAGGAACAGGAACCAAUUCCUGGAAAACAGUGUGUGUAGCUCAUUACUACUGAAACUAUUUGAUACCUGAAUAUAAUAUAAACACUUGGGCGGACACUGUUGUACUCUGUUAGAGUAAUUACAGUGAAUAGGUUACCAGUGUCGUAAGUUCUCCCCAAAUAAUUGUCUCAAACAAGCAGGACAGAUAUCAAAGAAAAAACCCAGGAGGUUUUGAAAUACCAGCGGAAACAUUUACUCUGUGUUCAGACAUCUAGCCAACAUUAGCAGGGAAACUAACCUAACCAUAGAUAUCUAUUCCGUCCUCGGCACCAGCAGUUCAUUAUCACAGGUUUCAUCAGAAUAGAGCAUUUGCUCAACAGCUUAUACUGGUGACGUCUCAAACUUCACACUUGUGGUGGAAUAAAAUGGCAAAACCAGGAGGAAACCUAUGGUGUCAGAGUGCAUGCGCUACCCUGAUCCCAGACAAUUCAGAUAAAAUGGAAAGUGUUAUAAAAGAAAUGAAGAAGAUUGCUAAUUCUUUUGGUCCAUCAAAGUCUAGUGAUAGUUUUACCAGCUGGCUGGAAAAAAACCUGGGUACUUGGGGCCUGCCGAUAGCCGUGAUUUUAAUAAUCUUUCUCCUCGGGCUGAGUGUAUCUAUCUGUUGUCUGAUUCACAGACAGAAGCGGAGGGAAGCAGCACAAUUCCCUUUAUUGAACAAUAAUCAAGUCAUUGUAAGAGCAGACUUGCAAGAAGUGUAAAUGUGAAGUAAACCUCAGAGCUUGCUCAGAAUGUUAGCAAAAAAAAAAAAUGCGUGAGGGAAAUUAUAGUUUAUUCUUUAUAAAGAUUAAUGUUGUGAAAUUUGUGUUGCAGAGAACUGUCAUGUAGCUGUGUGACCAUUCUCUGACCACUGUUCUAAGCUGACCGUUGUUUGACCGCUCACCUGAGCUGCAUCCUGUUUCAAUAGGGAAAUGAUCCCCAUGAAUCUCAGCUGGUAGUGAACCAGGCAAAAGAAGGUGACAGAAAUCUGAAGGAAACAGGAAGCUCCUCACUAGCCCAGUUCGUCAAAAACUAGAAUGAGGCAGAAAAAUAAAAUUGGCAAAUAAGGCGUUCAGGAUGCAUCUCGGGACGGGCGGGCUAAAUGUAUAUAAUGCAUGUGUAACUGUUGUUUGGGGCUCUUCAUCCCUGAGUGAUGUAGGGUCUGUAAUCAUACGUUUUGGAAUAAAGCACAAGAAAGGCA